ACAGUGAACUCCGCAUCGACUCACGCGUUCACCUCCUUCCGGUCUAAAUGGUAAACUCCUCUGCAUUUUGUCUCGCUUCUCAGAAAGGAAACACUGGUUCUGUAAACCUGUUUGAGAAGAAAAGCUCGAGGUUUCUUGGCCUCUCUGCUUCUGGAGCCAGGGGAAAAAAUAGCCCCAGGCUGAAGACAGGAGGGACCAGAUUGCUGCUUGGUGAUGCGAUCUCACUGCAGAGGCAGCCAGGAGACCCUCCUGAGACGAAUCGGAGAGUCCAUGCUGCUUUUACACACAUCCUAGUUCUUUUAUAACUAGCCUUUUCCUAUUAACGGACAUCAUUCAAAAGCCAGUUUUAAGCAACAUAAAUAUUGAAAACAAUACUAUACUAUUUAGAAUUAAUUAUAAGUUUUGUUUUUAAAGCCUAAAUCUUUUAUUGUUGUUUGAACCCUGGGCACUGAAGCUAAUAAUGUAACUUUUCUCCCUUCUUUCUUCUUUGGCAUAGAUUUAAAGAACUGUUAGACUCAUUUAAAAUGCUAUUAGGCAUUUUAAAGAGUAAUUGUUAAAUGUGUUGUCUCUUGUGGGACUGGAAAUGUUCUGUUCUUAUCUGGCGCUGGUUACAUCCUGUUUUUCAUUUGGGAAAGUGCAUUGAGCUGGAAAUUUAUAUGUUCAAUUUCUGUAUGUAAAUUGUACUUCAGUAAAAAUUUUCAAAAAA
This 706-nucleotide long non-coding RNA is filed under the name Homo sapiens (human). RNAcentral's name for it is "long independently transcribed non-coding RNA 2434, transcript variant 7 (LINC02434)". Lineage: Eukaryota; Metazoa; Chordata; Mammalia; Primates; Hominidae. The record is from RNAcentral.